CCGUAGGUGAACCUGCGGAGGGAUCAUUACAAGUGACCCCGGUCUUACCACCGGGAUGUUCAUAACCCUUUGUUGUCCGACUCUGUUGCCUCCGGGGCGACCCUGCCUUCGGGCGGGGGCUCCGGGUGGGCACUUCAAACUCUUGCGUAACUUUGCAGUCUGAGUAAACUUAAUUAAUAAAUUAAAACUUUUAACAACGGAUCUCUUGGUUCUG
This 214-nucleotide unclassified non-coding RNA is filed under the name plant metagenome. Its description in RNAcentral is "partial contains small subunit ribosomal RNA, internal transcribed spacer 1, and 5.8S ribosomal RNA". The record is from RNAcentral.